RNAcentral lists this ribosomal RNA (274 nucleotides) under uncultured bacterium. RNAcentral's name for it is "partial 16S ribosomal RNA". It matches the Rfam family "Bacterial small subunit ribosomal RNA", at positions 523 to 796 of the family's 1533-position model. The record is from RNAcentral.
AUACGGAGGGGGUUAGCGUUGUUCGGAAUUACUGGGCGUAAAGCGUACGUAGGCGGAUCGGAAAGUAAGGGGUGAAAUCCCAGGGCUCAACCCUGGAACUGCCUCUUAAACUCCCGGUCUUGAGUUCGAGAGAGGUGAGUGGAAUUCCUAGUGUAGAGGUGAAAUUCGUAGAUAUUAGGAGGAACACCAGUGGCGAAGGCGGCUCACUGGCUCGAUACUGACGCUGAGGUGCGAAAGCGUGGGGAGCAAACAGGAUUAGAAACCCUAGUAGUCC